UACGUAGGGGGCAAGCGUUGUCCGGAAUCAUUGGGCGUAAAGCGCGUGUAGGCGGCCCGGUAAGUCCGCUGUGAAAGUCGGGGGCUCAACCCUCGAAUGCCGGUGGAUACUGUCGGGCUAGAGUGCGGGAGAGGCGAGUGGAAUUCCUGGUGUAGCGGUGAAAUGCGCAGAUAUCAGGAGGAACACCAAUUGCGAAGGCAGCUCGCCGGAACGUAACUGACGCUGAGACGCGAAAGCGUGGGGAGCAAACAGG
Molecule: ribosomal RNA, 253 nt
Filed under: uncultured bacterium
Lineage: Bacteria
Description: partial 16S ribosomal RNA
Rfam family: Bacterial small subunit ribosomal RNA
Source: RNAcentral